Molecule: ribosomal RNA, 474 nt
Filed under: uncultured organism
Description: partial 16S ribosomal RNA
Rfam family: Bacterial small subunit ribosomal RNA
Source: RNAcentral
ACACUCCUACGGGAGGCAGCAGUGGGGAAUUUUGGACAAUGGGCGAAAGCCUGAUCCAGCAAUGCCGCGUGAGUGAAGAAGGCCUUCGGGUUGUAAAGCUCUUUUGUCAGGGAAGAAACGGUGAAAGCUAAUAUCUUUUGCUAAUGACGGUACCUGAAGAAUAAGCACCGGCUAACUACGUGCCAGCAGCCGCGGUAAUACGUAGGGUGCAAGCGUUAAUCGGAAUUACUGGGCGUAAAGCGUGCGCAGGCGGUUUUGUAAGUCUGAUGUGAAAUCCCCGGGCUCAACCUGGGAAUUGCAUUGGAGACUGCAAGGCUAGAAUCUGGCAGAGGGGGGUAGAAUUCCACGUGUAGCAGUGAAAUGCGUAGAUAUGUGGAGGAACACCGAUGGCGAAGGCAGCCCCCUGGGUCAAGAUUGACGCUCAUGCACGAAAGCGUGGGGAGCAAACAGGAUUAGAUACCCCUGUAGUCCCAU